This is a small nucleolar RNA of Pteropus vampyrus (large flying fox), 131 nucleotides long. Its record names the gene SNORA72. It matches the Rfam family "Small nucleolar RNA SNORA72". From Rfam's summary of the family: U72 is a member of the H/ACA class of snoRNAs. Lineage: Eukaryota; Metazoa; Chordata; Mammalia; Chiroptera; Pteropodidae. The record is from Ensembl.
UGGUCGAAAAUAUUCUUGUUCUGAUUUUGUAAUAAUCAGGCAGGUUAAACAUUCACUAUAUUAAGACCAUGCAUAUGUCCCCAGACCUAGCUCUUCCCCUAGGCCUGGUUUUAUAAAUGUUGGUGACAAAC